Molecule: long non-coding RNA, 2062 nt
Filed under: Cotesia glomerata
Lineage: Eukaryota; Metazoa; Arthropoda; Insecta; Hymenoptera; Braconidae
Description: uncharacterized LOC123274639
Source: RNAcentral
GAUUAUUAUUAGCAUUUAAUACUUUUUAGUAUUAUCUUUACUCACAAGUUCCGGCACCGAACGUUAGAUGGCACGCGAAAGCGGUUUUAUAAUCCAUAACAACAACGUAAACUGCAGUUUAAUAUAAUGUAAUUUACUAAUAUACCAACAACAAUAACAGAUACAUAUAAGAGACACUUACUGAAGAAAGAUAGAAAAAUAUUUAGGUGUUACAGGUUAAAUGAAUUUAAAAUGACACUUGUUGCUAAAAUUAUUACCCGUUUGUUAAUAUCAGUAACUUGAAACUGUUAAUACAACGUUUAAUCUCAGAUUUUACUCGACUGGUCAUUUCAAGGCAAUUGCAGUACUACAGAAAGAGAAGGGAAUUGAAGAUAGCAGACAUAUAAACGAGCAAACUUUCUCUGUGGGGGAAGGGCAUUUAAAAAAUAUAAAUGUUUAAAUAAAAAUAAAAAUAAUGAAUAUCUUUAAAAUCGUACGUUUCACGAAGCUUUGUUACCUAACAGUGAUCUGAUCGCGUGAAGUUGCUGACAUGAUAGAGAAAAAUUAUCUCGUCAUCUUUCGUUUUUCAACAUUGUUUUCAAUAUCUGAUUCUAACUCUGGUUUUCUAAUCAGUCAUGUGACUUAAAACACUGACAUUUGACAUCUGAUUAAUUAAAGUGAUCAAUUAAUGAAUUUUGUGUGUUUAAUAAAAUUUAGAAGAAAAUAUAAUAAAAAAAUUAACAAUACAGAUGGUAAUUCGAAGAAAUAAUAAUUAUGAUAACUGGUAUUGCAUUAGUAGAAAUAGAAAGUGUUGACUCAAUACAAGAGUACACAGAUAUAGAAAUAAGAUGUACAGACGGAGACGUUAGACGGAAUUGCACAGAUACAAGUCAACGAAAUAACUAAAUGAAUUUAAACGUGUUAUAAAUAGAAUGGUGAGUUGUCGAGAAUAGCGCAUCGCGCUACUUUAAAUACAUCAUACUCAUAAGUUGAUACAAUAUUAAGAUACAAUUGUUUUAGAUAUUAUCUUUAAAUACUUUAAUAUUGUUCACAAUUAUAAAUACAUAAAUCAACUAUUUUUAUAUUGUAAAUAAGUUUUUCUAUUGUUAACUUUGUUUAACAAAAUACUGAUAAUUGUAAAGGGGUUUUUGCCUUCUUUGAUUGUCCGCAACGGAAUUGCCUACGGCAAGGACAUUCACUGCAAGGUCAUGUAUAUAUUUAUAUAUGUGCCUGUGAGUGUGGAAGUUUAAAAUUGUUAUUUUUUUUUUUUUUUUUCAUUUAUUUAUUAAUGUAUUGUAAAUUAAUGUUAAGUACAGUAAAAAAAUAUUUAUUAUUAAUGGCAUUUUUUCACGUAAGGGGAUUAAUGAUAAUUAACUAAUUAAUUUGUUUGUUUUGAUAUUAAUAAAUAUUGAGAUUGUUCGACAUUAUGUUUUGACGUCACGCGACUUGCGUCAUGUACUGAAUAGUUUUUUUAUUAUUUAUUAGUAUUGUCUUUUUUAUUAGUUUAUAUAAUAAUGGGUUUGGAUCUAAAUUUUGAAUUAAGUAAGUAAUAGUAAUAGUAAUUAAUUUCGUUGAGUUUUGGAAUAUGUUACGUUUAUUGUGUUUGCAUUGAUACCUAUGAUUUACAAUAAUGUAAAUAGUAAAGAUUAGUAUUAUAUGUGAUGUAUGUGAACAUUAAUUAAUUAAGAUAGUACUAUAUUUAGUGAGAGAAGAAAAAAGAUACACUUUAAAGGACUUGAUUUCAUGUGGGACACGAUACCGUAAGCUUUACUUGAGGUCCGUUAUAAUAUUUUUGCUGUCGUAUUUUUCAUGUAUUUAUAUUAUUAUUUUCUUUUGUGGUAUUAGUCAUUGGAAAAUUUUUUGUUAAUGACUGUUACUGUCAUACCGUCCGCGGAAUAAUUUAAAUAGGUGGUAGAGUAAGUUCAAUGAAAAUGUAAAGAAGCAUGCGUUUGAGUUGAAUAAUUAUUUGAGUUAUCGGGAAAUUCUCGAGUUGGAUGUACGUGUGAGUAAAUAUUGGUCUGUAAUAGUUUGAUUUGAGAAGCAAUAUAUUGUAAUUAUUUUUAAUAAAAUAUUGAUAAUUUUA